RNAcentral lists this ribosomal RNA (184 nucleotides) under Lingulaulax polyedra. Its description in RNAcentral is "Lingulodinium polyedra partial Bacterial small subunit ribosomal RNA". It matches the Rfam family "Bacterial small subunit ribosomal RNA", at positions 748 to 946 of the family's 1533-position model. Lineage: Eukaryota; Dinophyceae; Gonyaulacales; Lingulodiniaceae. The record is from RNAcentral.
CAUUCACGAAAACUUGAGGUGUGAACGGGAUUAGAUACCCCAUUAGUUCACGUAAUAAAUUAUGGCUUAUUGUGGUUUGAGAUUGUAUUUAACAAUUGAAGGAUGUAAACCUAAGAAGUAUGCUUUCAUAAGUGAAACUUAAAUGUUUUGAUGGUGAUUUAAAACAAUGGUGGAACAUAUGAUU